AGAUAGUGUAAGUAGAGUCUUUAAUUUGAAGUUGAAGGAGCUGAUGAAAUCUCUACGUGAGAAGAAACAUUUCAGGACCGUAACUGCGGUGAUAUAUACAACCGAGUUUCAAAAGAAUUUCAAAAAAUAGGUUGCCACAUGCACAUAUCCUCUUGUGGUUGGAUAAAAAGGACAAACCACAAACUCCAUCCGAGAUAGAUAGGAUUAUUUCG
Papaver somniferum (opium poppy) is the source of this 212-nucleotide long non-coding RNA. RefSeq lists it as uncharacterized. Lineage: Eukaryota; Viridiplantae; Streptophyta; Magnoliopsida; Ranunculales; Papaveraceae. The record is from RefSeq and is a predicted model, not a curated record. The transcript has 2 exons.